RNAcentral lists this ribosomal RNA (460 nucleotides) under uncultured bacterium. Its description in RNAcentral is "partial 16S ribosomal RNA". It matches the Rfam family "Bacterial small subunit ribosomal RNA", at positions 338 to 795 of the family's 1533-position model. The record is from RNAcentral.
CCUACGGGGAGCAGCAGUGAGGAAUAUUGGUCAAUGGGCGCGAGCCUGAACCAGCCAAGUAGCGUGAAGGAUGACUGCCCUACGGGUUGUAAACUUCUUUUAUAAAGGAAUAAAACGAGGCACGUGUGCCUUUUUGUAUGUACUUUAUGAAUAAGGAUCGGCUAACUCCGUGCCAGCAGCCGCGGUAAUACGGAGGAUCCGAGCGUUAUCCGGAUUUAUUGGGUUUAAAGGGAGCGUAGAUGGGUUGUUAAGUCAGUUGGGAAAGUUUGCGGCUCAACCGUAAAAUUGCAAUUGAUACUGGCAGUCUUGAGUACAGUUGAGGUAGGCGGAAUUCGUGGUGUAGCGGUGAAAUGCUUAGAUAUCACGAAGAACCCCGAUUGCGAAGGCAGCUUACUAAACUGUGACUGACAUUGAUGCUCGAAAGUGUGGGUAUCAAACAGGAUUAGAUACCCUAGUAGUC